Molecule: ribosomal RNA, 771 nt
Filed under: Harringtonia lauricola
Lineage: Eukaryota; Fungi; Ascomycota; Sordariomycetes; Ophiostomatales; Ophiostomataceae
Description: Raffaelea lauricola partial large subunit ribosomal RNA
Rfam family: Eukaryotic large subunit ribosomal RNA
Source: RNAcentral
CGGCGAGUGAAGCGGCAACAGCUCAAAUUUGAAAUCUGGCCCCCCGCGGGCCCGAGUUGUACUUUGGAGAGGACGCUUCUGGCGCGGCGCCGUCCGAGUUCCCUGGAACGGGACGCCGGAGAGGGUGAGAGCCCCGUACGGGCGGCCGCCUAGCCUCUGCGAAGCUCCUUCGACGAGUCGAGUAGUUUGGGAAUGCUGCUCAAAAUGGGAGGUAAAUUUCUUCUAAAGCUAAAUACCGGCCAGAGACCGAUAGCGCACAAGUAGAGUGAUCGAAAGAUGAAAAGCACUUUGAAAAGAGGGUCAAACAGUACGUGAAAUUGUUGAAAGGGAAGCGCCUGUGGCCAGACUUGCGCCCCGCGGACCACCCGGCGCCUCGCGCGCCGGGGCACGCCAGCGGGGCGCAGGCCAGCAUCGGCUCUCUCGGGGGGACAAAGGCCGCGGGAACGUAGCGCCCUCGCGGCGUAUUAUAGCCCGCGGCGCCAUGCCCCCGGGGGGGCCGAGGACCGCGCUCCGGCAAGGAUGCUGGCGUAAUGGCCACCGGCGACCCGUCUUGAAACACGGACCAAGGAGUCAAGCAUUGGGGCGAGUGUCUGGGUGGCAAGCCCGCACGCGGAAUGAAAGUGAACGCAGGUGGGAGCUUCGGCGCACCACCGACCGAUCCUGAUGUCCUCGGAUGGAUUUGAGUAGGAGCCCCGCCGCUUGGACCCGAAAGAUGGUGAACUAUGCCUGUAUAGGGUGAAGCCAGAGGAAACUCUGGUGGAGGCCCGCAGC